RNAcentral lists this unclassified non-coding RNA (395 nucleotides) under soil metagenome. RNAcentral describes it as "partial contains 5.8S ribosomal RNA, internal transcribed spacer 2, and large subunit ribosomal RNA". The stretch from base 1 to 120 matches the Rfam family "5.8S ribosomal RNA", at positions 35 to 154 of the family's 154-position model. The record is from RNAcentral.
GAUGAAGAACGUAGCGAAAUGCGAUAAGUAAUGUGAAUUGCAGAAUUCAGUGAAUCAUCGAAUCUUUGAACGCACCUUGCGCCUUUUGGUAUUCCGAAAGGCACACCUGUUUGAGCGUCAUGAAUACCUCAAUCUCCAUCUUUUCUUCGGAUUGAUGGGUGACUUGGAUGUUGAGCCCUGCUGGUAUGCUAUAUCAGCUGGCUUUAAACUUAUUAGCCGGCUCUGUACUGGAUCGGUUUGACUCGACGUGAUAAUAUUAUCGUUGAGGAUGCAUGUCUCAUGCAGCCGGAAAGUAUCAAAGCAGCUUCUAGCUUGCCUUUAGUGCACUUUUACAUUUUGGACCUCAGAUCAGGUGGGACUACCCGCUGAACUUAAGCAUAUCAAUAAGCGGAGGA